UACGUAGGGUGCGAGCGUUAAUCGGAAUUACUGGGCGUAAAGCGUGCGCAGGCGGUUGUGUAAGACAGAUGUGAAAUCCCCGGGCUCAACCUGGGAACUGCAUUUGUGACUGCAUGGCUGGAGUGCGGCAGAGGGGGAUGGAAUUCCGCGUGUAGCAGUGAAAUGCGUAGAUAUGCGGAGGAACACCGAUGGCGAAGGCAAUCCCCUGGGCCUGCACUGACGCUCAUGCACGAAAGCGUGGGGAGCAAACAGG
This 253-nucleotide ribosomal RNA is filed under the name uncultured bacterium. Its description in RNAcentral is "partial 16S ribosomal RNA". It matches the Rfam family "Bacterial small subunit ribosomal RNA", at positions 524 to 776 of the family's 1533-position model. The record is from RNAcentral.